CGUAGUCAUUCCAACAUUUUCAAAUUAUGGUUGACAUGAAACGUAUAUAAAACUAGAUGAAAUAGACGUUUAAAUGUUUCUAAAAGUGACAUCUAGUCAUUCAUAAUAGAUUUACACAACUUGGAAAUUUUACUAGAAAGUUGAAAGCUUUUCAAAUCACAGAGCACUUGCCACUAUGCCAAACAGCCACAUGCCUUGAAUCAACCUGUGAGAUUAUAGUGGGGGGUGAGUACUACAAGAAAUACUUAGUAAGAAGGCACUAGAGUAAAUGAUAAAAUACAUAUAUGUUUUCAGAAGGCAAACUCUGGUCUUUUGUGUCAUCGUCAAUCUCUUUCUCUUAUUUGAACCAUCAAACAGUGCUUCCUUCAUGAGCAACACAAUAAUGUGUCACCUUCAAUCUCUUGCUCUUGUUUGAGCCACCAAACGGUGCCUCCUUCAUGAGUGACACAAUAAUACGUUUGAUGCAAAAGAAAACAAAUAAUUCUUAGACCACUUACAAAAGUACCGAUAACACGCACACCUCAAAUACUUAGAGUUUGAAUAUCCUUUCACGUCCAACAAGAAGUAAAAUGCAGCAUACUUUAGCCUUUUCUUCAGAAAAUUUCCAGAUUCAAAGGUCCUUGUUUCUAUGGAAAAAGGGCAAAAUAAUUUUUACGUAAGAGUAUAAUAGUUUGGAAGAGAAAAUGUGACUUUAGAGGUUAUUGGAGAUUUUGUUUUACAAAUGCAAGAUCAUAAUGUAGUUCACGUGUAUUUUGUACGGAAAUGGAGUUGUGAAAUUGUUUUUCGAGCACAAAAGAAUGAUGUCAAUUGCAGUAACCAAAUGGGAGUAAAAACAAAUGGUGAGUAGGAUAUUAAUUUUGUGCAUAAUGGUGGAGUUAUAAUAGUGUAGGUUACUUUCAAAUAAAAAGGCAACAGUUUCAUGGCAAUUGGAAUUAAUCACCAUGAGUUAAUGGAAUUUUUUUUAAAUCAAUUAUAAAGUAAACAAGGAAUUCAAAUG
RNAcentral lists this long non-coding RNA (997 nucleotides) under Olea europaea (common olive). RNAcentral's name for it is "long non-coding RNA (OEUR_LNC002439)". The record is from RNAcentral. Lineage: Eukaryota; Viridiplantae; Streptophyta; Magnoliopsida; Lamiales; Oleaceae.